GUGGGGAAUCUUGCGCAAUGGGCGAAAGCCUGACGCAGCCAUGCCGCGUGAAUGAUGAAGGUCUUAGGAUUGUAAAAUUCUUUCACCGGGGACGAUAAUGACGGUACCCGGAGAAGAAGCUCCGGCUAACUUCGUGCCAGUAGCCGCGGUAAUACGAAGGGGGCUAGCGUUGCUCGGAAUUACUGGGCGUAAAGGGCGAGUAGGCGGACAGCUUAGUCAGAGGUGAAAGCCCAGGGCUCAACCUUGGAAUUGCCUUUGGUACUGGCUAUCUUGAGUAUGGAAGAGGUAUGUGGAACUCCGAGUGUAGAGGUGAAAUUCGUAGAUAUUCGGAAGAACACCAGUGGCGAAGGCGACAUACUGGUCCAUUACUGACGCUGAGGCUCGAAAGCGUGGGGAGCAAACAGGAUUAGAAACCCCAGUAGUCC
Molecule: ribosomal RNA, 425 nt
Filed under: uncultured bacterium
Lineage: Bacteria
Description: partial 16S ribosomal RNA
Rfam family: Bacterial small subunit ribosomal RNA
Source: RNAcentral